Molecule: ribosomal RNA, 809 nt
Filed under: uncultured bacterium
Lineage: Bacteria
Description: bacterial SSU rRNA
Rfam family: Bacterial small subunit ribosomal RNA
Source: RNAcentral
GCGUACCAUUAGCUAGUUGGUAGGGUAACGGCCUACCAAGGCUGCGAUGGUUAGCUGGUCUGAGAGGAUGAUCAGCCACACUGGAACUGACACACGGUCCAGACUCCUACGGGAGGCAGCAGUGAGGAAUUUUGCGCAAUGGGGGAAACCCUGACGCAGCAACGCCGCGUGAGUGAUGAAGGCUUUCGGGUCGUAAAGCUCUGUCAAGUGGGAAGAACCUGCUUUGUGAUAAUACCACGAAGCACUGACGGUACCACUGAAGGAAGCACCGGCUAACUCCGUGCCAGCAGCCGCGGUAAUACGGGGGGUGCUAGCGUUAUUCGGAAUCAUUGGGCGUAAAGGGCGCGUAGGCGGUCUCUUAAGUCAGAUGUGAAAUCCCUCGGCUUAACCGAGGAAGUGCAUUUGAUACUAGGAGACUUGAGUAUGGGAGAGGGAAGCGGAAUUCCUGGUGUAGCGGUGAAAUGCGUAGAUAUCAGGAGGAACACCGGUGGCGAAGGCGGCUUCCUGGACCAAUACUGACGCUGAGGCGCGAAGGCGUGGGGAGCAAACAGGAUUAGAUACCCUGGUAGUCCACGCAGUAAGCGGUGAACACUAGGUGUAGCGGGUAUUGACCCCCGCUGUGCCGAAGCUAACGCAUUAAGUGUUCCGCCUGGGAAGUACGGCCGCAAGGUUAAAACUCAAGGAAUUGACGGGGCCCGCACAAGCGGUGGAGCAUGUGGUUUAAUUCGACGCAACGCGAGACCUUACCUAGGCUUGACAUCCCGGGAUCUUCUUGAAGAGAGAGUGCCUUUCGGGGAGCCCGGAGACAG